Varroa destructor (honeybee mite) is the source of this 1339-nucleotide long non-coding RNA. NCBI's taxonomy places the organism in Eukaryota, Metazoa, Arthropoda, Arachnida, Mesostigmata, Varroidae. The record is from RefSeq and is a predicted model, not a curated record.
CCAAAAUGUUGUUAUUUUGCCAGCAAUUUGAAAAUCAUGUGCUAGCUUUCGAGCGUUAGUUAUAUGUACGAUCGACGUUGAAGCGAUCUUAAAAGAACCCUCAUUUUUUUAUAUUCUUUUCAACUGACGUCAGAUUCAUUAUAUGCCCAAUUAUUCAGGGAGGCUUUUUGCUGCCUAGUGCACAUUCUGACCGCACCUAGCCCACACAUAGCUUUCCAACUUCAUUAUAGUGAGUGCUGAGCGUGUCCUUCAUAGGGGUCUCGCGUUCUGAUGUUUAAGAACGCUAAUAUGUUUUCUGGUUUUGGAUAGCAGAUUCUACAACAGCAUACCAAAUAAACGUUCAGCGUCAAAGCAGACCCUGGAGGGUUCUUUAAGGGAGAAAACAUCUGUAGAAAGUUGUAUUCAACAAACUUCUACUCGAUUAAUGAACUUUAAGAAACUUUGUCGGUUGAGGUAAUAUCCAGUGAACUUCAAACAGUACCUGUAGGAGUCUUUAAGAAACGGAGCAACCCUGAGAGGCGAUUUUUCGUAACUCGAAUGGUUCAGUGGGGAAAGUCAUCCAUCAUGCGAAAAGCGUGCUGAAGGACAGGACUCAUCCGUCAACUCUAGCUGCUACAGCGAGCGUUCCACUAAACCGAGUACGAUUUUAUUCCUUAAACUUAGAGGCUUCAUAUAGCGCUGCAAGGAAAGCAAAUUAAAUACCUAUUACAAAAUUCAUCUGCUACCGCCAGUUCUCUAUGGGAUGGCCCCCAGGGACAGCGUACGGCCUUUCGGGACGAGGCGUCAUCUCUAGCUUUCAGGAAAGCGGAGGAUCCACUUUUCGCCUAGAUGGCUUAAUGCAGCCGUUCGUGCCACUGAAUAGAGGAGAAUAUUAUAGGCGGAUGAUUUUCGGAACCUUCACUUCAGUCGAACUCAACGUCGACGACUGGACCUUAUUCUGCCGAAGCUAUGAUCGACUAAUUGCUCACCUAUCGUUUUACCAAGAGCACUCUAAUAUUCAAGCAUAUAUAAAAGUAUUUAUGAGAGGAAAAUAGAUCAGAGUUAUUCCUCAGAACAAAUCGCCAGGGCAAUCGGACGGACACAUUUGAAUAGCCCGCGGCUAAUCAAGCUGCUAUGUGUACAAUUACCGACAAACAGAACGACGAUGACAGCCGGUGCCAUGGAGCGGAUUUGUUGGCGGACAGAUCACACAUGCGGAAAACAACCUGCAUGAGUCUAUAGAGAUGUGAAAAUGGCAAAAAAAUACUGGUGAAUUUCGCUUAGGCCAGACAGGUCGAGCUGUCUAUAGACAGCAAAUCGUAGUGUGGAAACGGCAACGAUACUACAAUGGGAAACUACA